RNAcentral lists this unclassified non-coding RNA (285 nucleotides) under Hevea brasiliensis (rubber tree). Lineage: Eukaryota; Viridiplantae; Streptophyta; Magnoliopsida; Malpighiales; Euphorbiaceae. The record is from RNAcentral.
AGGCCUCAUAUCCCUCUCCUGUUGCAGACAUCGGAAAGCCAAUUCUGCAACUGAUGUUGCCAUCUUCCUCACUGCAGAAUCCUUUUCAAAACCAAGACAUGGAUCUAUCAACUCAUUUACUGCAUGAUUUUGGAUUUUGUUAACUGCCAUGUUGGCCAAAUUGAUGUCAAGCCUAUGCCUGUUAGUGUCCACUGCCUGUAAAGAUGAUAUCAGCUCAAUCAAGACCACACCAAAGCUGUAAACAUCGCUCUUAUCUGUGAGUUGGUAGCACUGAUAAUACUCUGG